GCUGCCUCUAGGUUCUGGGAAGAUGGCGAAGGUCUCAGAGCUUUACGAUGUCACUUGGGAAGAAAUGAGAGAUAAAAUGAGAAAAUGGAGAGAAGAAAACUCAAGAAAUAGUGAGCAAAUUGUGGAAGUUGGAGAGGAAUUAAUUAAUGAAUAUGGUUCUAAGCUGGGAGAUGAUAUUUGGAUCAUAUAUGAACAGGUGAUGAUUGCAGCACUAGACUAUGGUCGGGAUGACUUGGCAUUGUUUUGUCUUCAAGAGCUAAGAAGACAGUUCCCUGGCAGUCACAGAGUCAAGCGAUUAACAGGCAUGAGAUUUGAAGCCAUGGAAAGAUAUGAUGAUGCUAUACAGCUAUAUGAUAGGAUUUUACAAGAAGAUCCAACUAACACUGCUGCAAGAAAGCGUAAGAUUGCCAUUCGAAAAGCCCAGGGGAAAAAUGUGGAGGCCAUUCGGGAGCUGAAUGAGUAUCUGGAACAAUUUGUUGGAGACCAAGAAGCCUGGCAUGAACUUGCAGAACUUUACAUCAAUGAACAUGAAAUAGAAUCAGAUUCUCAUGCACAUUUUCUUGUGCAUGAAUAUUUAACCUUGUUCUCAUACUGCAAACAACUGAUGAGAAACAGAAUGAAGACAUUUGUCUGUUGUCUG
This 640-nucleotide small RNA is filed under the name Pongo abelii (Sumatran orangutan). RNAcentral describes it as "processed transcript". Lineage: Eukaryota; Metazoa; Chordata; Mammalia; Primates; Hominidae. The record is from RNAcentral.